CCUACGGGGGGCUGCAGUGGGGAAUAUUGGACAAUGGGGGCAACCCUGAUCCAGCCAUGCCGCGUGUGUGAAGAAGGCCCUCGGGUUGUAAAGCACUUUCAGUGAGGAAGAACGCCUGGUGGUUAAUACCCAUCAGGAAAGACAUCACUCACAGAAGAAGCACCGGCUAACUCCGUGCCAGCAGCCGCGGUAAUACAGAGGGUGCGAGCGUUAAUCGGAAUUACUGGGCGUAAAGCGCGCGUAGGUGGCUUGAUAAGCCGGUUGUGAAAGCCCCGGGCUCAACCUGGGAACGGCAUCCGGAACUGUCAAGCUAGAGUGCAGGAGAGGAAGGUAGAAUUCCCGGUGUAGCGGUGAAAUGCGUAGAGAUCGGGAGGAAUACCAGUGGCGAAGGCGGCCUUCUGGACUGACACUGACACUGAGGUGCGAAAGCGUGGGUAGCAAACAGGAUUAGAUACCCCGGUAGUC
RNAcentral lists this ribosomal RNA (465 nucleotides) under Vreelandella stevensii. RNAcentral describes it as "partial 16S ribosomal RNA". It matches the Rfam family "Bacterial small subunit ribosomal RNA", at positions 338 to 795 of the family's 1533-position model. Lineage: Bacteria; Pseudomonadati; Pseudomonadota; Gammaproteobacteria; Oceanospirillales; Halomonadaceae. The record is from RNAcentral.